UACGUAGGGGGCAAGCGUUAUCCGGAUUCAUUGGGCGUAAAGCGCUCGUAGGCGGCUUGUUAGGUCGGGAGUUAAAUCCCGGGGCUCAACCCCGGCACGCUCCCGAUACCGGCAGGCUUGAGUUUGGUAGGGGAAAGUGGAAUUCCAAGUGUAGCGGUGGAAUGCGCAGAUAUUUGGAAGAACACCAGUGGCGAAGGCGGCUUUCUGGGCCAUAACUGACGCUGAGGAGCGAAAGCUAGGGGAGCAAACA
This 250-nucleotide ribosomal RNA is filed under the name uncultured prokaryote. RNAcentral's name for it is "partial 16S ribosomal RNA". It matches the Rfam family "Bacterial small subunit ribosomal RNA", at positions 524 to 774 of the family's 1533-position model. The record is from RNAcentral.